Molecule: ribosomal RNA, 253 nt
Filed under: uncultured bacterium
Lineage: Bacteria
Description: partial 16S ribosomal RNA
Rfam family: Bacterial small subunit ribosomal RNA
Source: RNAcentral
UACGGAGGGUGCAGGCGUUAUCCGGAUUUACUGGGUUUAAAGGGUGUGUAGGCGGAUUAUUAAGUCAGCGGUGAAAUCUCCGAGCUCAACUCGGAAACUGCCAUUGAUACUAUUAGUCUUGAAUAUUGUUGAGGUGGGGGGAACGGGUCAUGUAGCGGUGAAAUGCAUAGAUAUGGCCAGGAACACCGAUUGCGAAGGCAGCCCACUAAGCCAUGAUUGACGCUGAGGCGCGAAAGCGUGGGGAUCAAACAGG